UGGGGAAUAUUGGACAAUGGGCGAAAGCCUGAUCCAGCCAUGCCGCGUGUGUGAAGAAGGUCUUCGGAUUGUAAAGCACUUUAAGUUGGGAGGAAGGGCAUUAACCUAAUACGUUAGUGUUUUGACGUUACCGACAGAAUAAGCACCGGCUAACUCUGUGCCAGCAGCCGCGGUAAUACAGAGGGUGCAAGCGUUAAUCGGAAUUACUGGGCGUAAAGCGCGCGUAGGUGGUUUGUUAAUUUGGAUGUGAAAUCCCCGGGCUCAACCUGGGAACUGCAUUCAAAACUGACUGACUAGAGUAUGGUAGAGGGUGGUGGAAUUUCCUGUGUAGCGGUGAAAUGCGUAGAUAUAGGAAGGAACACCAGUGGCGAAGGCGACCACCUAGACUAAUACUGACACUGAGGUGCGAAAGCGUGGGGAGCAAACA
This 427-nucleotide ribosomal RNA is filed under the name uncultured bacterium. RNAcentral describes it as "partial 16S ribosomal RNA". It matches the Rfam family "Bacterial small subunit ribosomal RNA", at positions 355 to 774 of the family's 1533-position model. The record is from RNAcentral.